This 464-nucleotide ribosomal RNA is filed under the name uncultured bacterium. Its description in RNAcentral is "partial 16S ribosomal RNA". It matches the Rfam family "Bacterial small subunit ribosomal RNA", at positions 28 to 507 of the family's 1533-position model. The record is from RNAcentral.
GACGAACGCUGGCGGCGUGCUUAACACAUGCCAGUCGAACGGUGAACUCCGCUUGCGGGGGGAUCAGUGGCGAACGGGUGAGUAACACGUGGGCAACCUGCCCUCAGCUCUGGGAUAACUCCAAGAAAUUGGGGCUAAUACCGGAUAUGACCGCUGACCGCAUGGUCUGGUGGUGGAAAGAUUUAUCGGCUGGGGAUGGGCCCGCGGCCUAUCAGCUUGUUGGUGGGGUAGUGGCCUACCAAGGCGACGACGGGUAGCCGGCCUGAGAGGGUGACCGGCCACACUGGGACUGAGACACGGCCCAGACUCCUACGGGAGGCAGCAGUGGGGAAUAUUGCGCAAUGGGCGAAAGCCUGACGCAGCGACGCCGCGUGGGGGAUGACGGCCUUCGGGUUGUAAACCUCUUCAGCAGGGACGAAGCGAAAGUGACGGUACCUGCAGAAGAAGCACCGGCCAACUACGUG